GGAGAAUUACUUGAAGCCGGGAGACGGUUGUUGCAGUGAGCGGAGAUCACACCAUUGCAUUCCAGCCUUGGCAGAUGAGCAAGACUCUGUCUCAAAAAAUAAAUAAAAUAAAAUAAAAUCUCUUGAUGAUGUGUUGAGACUCUGGGGAAACAUUACUUGACCAUAAAAGUAGUAACAGACUUGAUUGCAAUGCAAUGAAUUGCCAGCGUGAGUAAUUUGAUGGAGGAUGUAUAGGUUCUUGGGGCAAAAGCCCUCAUACCAGACAACCAAGGAUUAGAGCGGCAGACUCCGGGGUAGAUGGUGGUGGUUCUUACAGACUUGUGUAGUGGGAGGAGGAGUGACAGUUAAGGCUUUGUUUUGAGAGAGACAGAGAGAGAAUUGACUUGAGGAUGGAAGCUACAAAGUAAACACUAGAUUAUUGCAGUCAUCUUAAAUGAUCCUUAAAAGCAUCCUGUUUGAGUCAGGAUGAAUGGGACCUCUUCACUUCUGUAGGAUCUGGAUUAUGACUGAUGUCCCUGUUCCUCAUCACUAAAAUGAAGUAAUAUUUCUCCAAGGCCUCCUUUAACUCUAGAAUUACAUGAAGUUUUGAAAUGUUGAAUAUUUUCCAAACAGCUUCCUUUCCAUUCCCAUAAGAAAAAAGGCUGUUAUGCUAUGUAGACCUUGAGGCACCCGAUGUCUGUCUGGGUAUUUACCGGUGAGCUCUUUGUUUUUAGGCUUUCAUCGUUCUGUGUUCCUUGUUUGCCAAGGAGGAUGCUGUCAUUUUCCCAUUCUGCUUUUAAGUUUUCCUGUGUCUGUUACUGUCUGUACAGGUAGUGAAAGGCUUCAGCUGAGUCCUGUGGGGAGAUGAGUUUCUGGAUUUGGGUGUGCCGUCAUGGGGUGACCGAGCUCACUGGUGAUGGUGAGUGAGCGGUCUCAUGCAGCCUGUGGGAAAAUGGCAAGGCCUGGUGUCUUGGAACCACAAGCCUCCAGAGGGAGUUGCAUUAAUGUGCAGAGUUGAAUCAGAGAAGGUUCAGAGUUGGUGUAGUUUAUUGCCUUAUUCCAGUGCCCACGCUCACUACAAAUGUGUUUACAUUUCAACUUUUGCUAAAGCCCGCUUAGUUUAAAAGGGAGGCUUCACGUAAAUGGAAAAGCUGAGGCUAAAAGGUCCAAACUUCUCUCAUCUUUGUUACUUAUUGAAGCUUUCAUUAUAGAUGCUGUGAGUACUCAGCAUUUCUAAGAAACUCCCAUUGCUCUUGUUUCCCUUUCAGCUUGGAGCUGGGAUCCAGCGUAGCUAAAUGAGGGGCCUGGCUUUGCCCCUUGUCGGGAGGAUGGCCUGCCUUUGAAGGCAGUUGAAUUUUGUAUAUGUCUUAGUCUCUUCAGGCUGCCAUGACAGAUACCAUAGACAGUGGCUUAAACAAUAGAUGUUUAUUUCCUCACUCUUGUGGAGGCUGGAAGUCCCAGAUCAUGGUGCCAGCAGAUUGGGUUCCUGGCUUGCAGACAGCCAUCUUCUCACUGUGCCCUCACAUGGUAUUGGGGCUGGAGGGUGCAGGGAGAGAGAUUGAGAAAGAGCGAGCUCUGGUCUCUUUUUUUAUAAGGACACUGAUCCCAUCAUGUGGGCUGUAGCCUCAUAACCUCAUCUAAACCUAAUUAUCUUCCAAAGGUCCUACCUCCAAAUACUGUCACUUUGGGGGUUAGGGUUUGAACAUAUGAAUUUUGGGGGGACCCAGCAUUCAGUUGGUAACAGUGUGUGCGCUGCAUGCACGUGCGUGUGUAUGUGUAGAUCAGGGUUGAUCAGAGUCUACCUGCCAUUGCCAUCCUCUUUUCCCUGCUGGGUGCAAAUUUGCAUUCCCCCCCACCCUUUGCGCGGGAGUGAUCAUCUGACCCUGUUCUGGCCAAUGAGGUGAGGUAGUCCCGGGGGCUUCUGGGAGUGCCUUCCCUCCCAGCAGGGGCGCUGCCUCCUGAGGGGCUGUCCCUGCCGCCCCUCCCUCCCUUGUGUGCCUGGGGCGGCUGAGGCAGGGCUAGGAGAACAGCCCAGGUCCCUCCUGCCAAGCGCUGAAGCCGCCCUGGGCUAACUGCAGCGUUCUCCUGUGAGCUGCAGAGGAGCCCUGCGCUUCCUGCUACUUGCAGCCAGGUGCUGUUACCUGUGCCCCACGCAUCCUCACGGACCUGUCCACAGGGCACCCGUGCCUUCCCUCCAGCUGGCAGGAGGUGCAGUCGGAAGAGCGUAUGGUCCCUGAGGCCUCCCUGUGCCUCCCCCUGGACCCCGGGGUGUCCCUAUUUGCAGUUGUUGACCCUUGGGUGCGUCUGUCGCGUCUGCUUUCUUCUCCUCCAGGCUGGGAGCGCCUGGACCACGUCUCGCUCCCCUCUCGAUCUUUAGGCCCACCCUGUGCUCCCCCGUAGGAAACAUAGUGACCUAGUGACCGGUUCAGUCACCCAGCCAGUGCUCUGGGUCCUGGUGUUGCUGACAGCGGUUGGUUUGCUCCUCUCUUGAUUUUGGUGUCCUCUGUAAGAAGCCUACCUAUUUGGUCGUUCACAGAAAGCCCACGAGGUGGCCGGAAGAAAGGGACAUGGGAAAACAGAGUAUAAUUAAAAGGGCCUGGGCCAUGGAAAUAGCUGUUCUCUAGGGUUUGGUUAGAGACAGACAGUCCUCCAAAGACGCAGGCAGAGCUGCUUCCCAGUCCUCACGCUCAGUUUUCAUUGUGGAAGCAGAAAUCAAAUAAAAGCCAACUUAAAUUCUUUUAAUUAUGGAACAUUCUAAGCAUCCAGAAAAAACACAUCGUUGCCACCAUUGUUUCUGGCAUUAAGGUCUCUUUUCUCUUUUUAAGGGUGAAAAAUGUUUUCCAGACAAACACUUAACUAAUUCAGUAUGUCAAAAGUGAAAAAUACACGCUGAACAUCCCAAAUCCAAAACUUCAUGAGCGCUGACAUGCUGCUCAGAGGAAAUGCUUACUGAAGCAUUUUAGAUUGUAGACAUUCAGAAAUAUUCCAAACAUUUGGAAAUAUUCUAAAAUCGGAAAAGCUUUGAAAUCUGAGACACUCCUGGUGUUUCGGAUAAGGGAUGCUCAACUUGUAGUAAGUGAGUGGUUGGAAGUUAGAACAUAUGCAUCCGUAGAAACAAACCUAUUUGACCCAAAAUUUGGCCAACGUACAGAGAUUUGAGAUGAAAAACUUACAAAAUGAUAGGGUGACUGUGAUUUUACUAGUUAGGAAACAAACCCAGAGAAGUGAAGUCAGGAUUUAGGUUUGUGGACCUUUUAUUUAGGGUCCUUUCUACUCUGCCAUACAUUCCUAGUUAUUCUGACAACAGUGUCGAAUUUCAUCAGCCAGAAACCACUAGGAACACAUGUGGUUAUCCAGAAGUUGGUCAGCCAGGGCCAGUGUACCCACAAAACUCUUGGGAUUAUUUUGGAAAGGCAGACUUGGGGUUGUGCUUGUACUGAGUGAUUUGAAGGCAGAAUUAGGGAAUUGGGGCCAGAUCUGGGUUGGAGGUGGCCAGUAGGCAGGGAUGAUUCAGUGAUUGGGUAUCCUAACAAUUUUUAUCUAGGAGGUAGGGGAUUAAAGUGGAGUUAGAGUGUCCACUUCAGUAAAGAAUUUGCAGUCAUACAUGUUGAUGAGAAAAGGGGGCAUCUGGUUAUUUUCGUGGUAGUAACGUGGGCCUGUCUGUGUCCUAUUUUGAGCAUUCGUUAUGUUCUGAUGGGAAUAUUGGGGCCGGUUUGGUGGUCGGUAGGGUUGAAUUUAAUUUGUUCACCAACUUAAUUUCAUUCUGAAUGCAUAUGCGGGAGGAAAUGUAGGUUUUAAUAGGAGCAAGAUGAAGUGGUAAAUAGAGAUUUAGAGGAUGUCUAAAAAACUGUGAGCAGUCACUGUUUUUUAAACAUUGUAGCUGCUCAGUGAAUACUGCAAAUUAAAAAAGACAAAUGGUUAGUUUUCUCCUAUCUCGAGAAGCUUUAAAAAUCAUCAUAAUGAUUUUGUACUGAAUUUUGAUAGGCUGUAGAAGCAGAUAAAACUGUCGAGCUGUUAUUAAAGUGUACUUAUAAUUGGAAUAUAUUUUUAUAGUCUUCAAAUAUGCUGUCCAGUUACUGAUCAGGAGGUACCGUGAAUGGUGAUGUUACUCACAGUGCCAAAACACCCCCAGAUCAGUGGAAAAUGUGGACAAGGAAUUUAGGAAAUUUACAAGAGCAGUCAGAAGCUGGAGGCAGUGUUGGAUAGUGAAGAGUGACCCGGGUUCCAAUCUUGGUCCUAGUCCGAGCUGUGCCACCGUGUGGUCCAGAAUGUCGUUGCCAACUCUCUGAACUUAGUCAUUUCAUCUCUCUGGGCCUCAGUUUCCUCAUCUGUCAUAAUGAGGAAGUUGAACACAUGGUGUCUGUGUUCCUUCUAAAGUUUCUGUCAUUAAGUCUGUUUGAAGAUAGAGUCUGUUCUUUUGGAAGUUCUAGUUUCUUUGGCCAGUUGGGCCAGGUCAUAAACAUUAUGUAACUAUUAUUCAGCUCAUGAAGACAGGAAUGUCUGAGGGCUUUGAAAGCUUGUCCAGAAGGAAAUUUUUCCUUCCUCUCAGGAAUGAUUAGGCCUAAAUCAGCCAUCUUCUUAGUCCAUCCCCUUUGUAGUUUCCUGAGAUGAAUGACUGAGGUGUUUUCUCCUUAGAAAAUAACAUGGGAGAAAAAUACCAAGGGAGACUUUUUAUUCAGGAACUUGCAGUUUAGGAAUUAAGUGUGAUACCUUCCAUUUUGCUCAUUUUAAUUUUGGGACCAUAAAAUGACGUAAUAUAAAUAUUUAAGGAUUCUGUUAAAUGCAAAUUUUGAAAUCAUGCCAAAACCAAAAAAAGGAAAAGAAGUCAGCCAAAAGUUGUUAUCAUUUCAAAGCUGGUGGCCAGGUGGUUUGGAAACUGUGUAUGGGAUUGCUACAUGGAAGCUGUGGAUGGGAUUCCUCCACUCUAGCAGGCAACAAAUGCCUUGUGUGGUUAGUCAGUAUCGUGCUGCAUGCUGUUGCUGAUAGCAUGCUAAUUUUUGCUUACAUGUGCUGGUAUUUAACGUGCGCUUAGAUCUAAAUAUCUUUUUUUAGCCUUCGAAGAUGUCAACCAGGUAUUCAUCAAGAGGUAUGUUAAUGGGGAUGUUGGCGAUAGUGCCCAAGAUGCCCCCAACCCCCAGAUCAGUAGCUUUGUGACAGAAGUGCCGAACCACUAUGAAGAUGAUCAGGCAACAGUGGGACGCAUCCUGCCAUAAAUUUAGCCGAAAGAGCACAGAGCAUGCAUCCAAAUAGGAGGGUUAAUAUAGAGAGGUGCUGUAGCAAAGUGAUUCAGAGCAUGGUCCCUGGAGCUAGUUGCGUGAUGCUGACACUUAAUUAGCUUUGUGGAUUUAGGCAAGUCACCUAGCCUUUCUGGGCCUUAAUUUCCCCAUCUGUCCAAUGGAAUAAAUUCAAUGUCUACCGCAAAGUUUAUAUGACACUUAGCAAACAUGAAAAGACAGGUUGCCGGGCCCAUCCUCCAGAGACCCUGAUUCACUGCAUCUCAGGUAUUUGCGUUUAACCAAUUCCAUGGUGGUGCUCAUGCGUCGAACCCUGGGAUGACACUGAGGAUCGCAUGCUGUGCGUUUGUACACACAGACACACAUGUAGGCAUUUAGUUUACUAAAUAAAGGGCAUACUCUUUGGAACCUGAUGUUUUUGUCCUAUUUAGUGCAUUGUGAAUAUUUUCCCUUUCAUUAUUUAUUCUAAUAAUAGAUGAUUUUAAGCUUCAUUGUAUUCCUUAUUAGAUAUUUAAAUGGUUUCCAUUUUUUGCACUAUGAUAGAUCAUGCUGGAAUAAAUAUUAUUCUGUAUACACUUGUCUACAUCUCUGUUGGUCUCUUUAGGGUAAAUUCCUAAAAGUGGAAUUACCAGGUUCAAGGGUGUUCAUGAUAAGGCCUUUUGCUGCAUAUUGCCAACAAAUUCUUCAGAACGAGAGUAGCAGAAAUUUAUCGUCUUACAAGUAGUCUAUGAGAGUAGAUGCUGGUUUUCUAAAUGUAAGAGAAUAAGGAGAAAACUUCAUCAUUAACUUUUUUCAUGUGUAUUUGGGCUUUGGUGGGAGUAGGCAAGAAAAAUAUCCGUGGAUUUAUAGAGUAAACAAAGGUAUGUCAGGAAAAACUAGAGAGGAAUAAUAGGGCUGAACUGUGGCUCAAUUUCAGGGGGGUUUCUGGGAUUCAGACUUGAAUUAAUUGAAUGAUGCUCUAAUGUAUACUUGAUAUCAGUGAUUUUAUGCAAAGAAGAAUAAAUAUUGGCUUUUUUUAUUUAUCACAUAUGGUAUGGGUGACUAUUGCUGCUAGUUCAAGGGUCUUGAUUUUUUAAAAAUGUGUUUCUUGACUGUGGUACCUGGGAGCCCCAGGAUUGAGAUUUUGAUUAAAUAACAUCUGCUCCACUCUGCCUUCCUGUGUGGGUCUCUCUAACCCUGGGCCAAGGAGUUGAGGUUUUCCUUGGGGUGCUUGGAGUAGGGGUGGGUGCAGCUUGGGAAAUUCAGCGUCAGUACCUAAAAACUUAAAGUAGGCUUCAUGUAAGAAGUCAGUGAUUCUUAGGAACGGGGGUACGUGUGAGUGGAGGCCAAGGUGGGGCCCUGCACAGGUCGGUCAGGCCCUCAAGGUGGGACAAGAGCUGUAGAGCCCUUGGUUAUAAGCCUGUGUGGUAGAGACCAGCAGAUAAGCCAAACUCUUCUCUAUUAUCAGAACAUUUCACUAAUAAGGGAUCUCAAGGGUCACCUGGCACAGCCUUCUCUUUUUGCAGUUAAGGAAGCUAAGAAUUUAUUAUUUCAGUUAAGCUUUACCAUAUAGUAAGUUUUU
Long non-coding RNA from Sapajus apella (tufted capuchin), 6774 nucleotides. RefSeq lists it as uncharacterized. Lineage: Eukaryota; Metazoa; Chordata; Mammalia; Primates; Cebidae. The record is from RefSeq and is a predicted model, not a curated record. The transcript has 2 exons.